RNAcentral lists this ribosomal RNA (232 nucleotides) under Staphylococcus aureus. RNAcentral's name for it is "partial 16S ribosomal RNA". It matches the Rfam family "Bacterial small subunit ribosomal RNA", at positions 100 to 326 of the family's 1533-position model. Lineage: Bacteria; Bacillati; Bacillota; Bacilli; Caryophanales; Staphylococcaceae. The record is from RNAcentral.
GGACGGGUGAGUAACACGUUGAUAACCUACCUAUAAGACUGGGAUAACUUCGGGAAACCGGAGCUAAUACAGGAUAAUAUUUUGAACCGCAUGGUUCAAAAGUGAAAGAAGGUCUUGCUGUCACUUAUAGAUGGAUCCGCGCUGCAUUAGCUAGUUGGUAAGGUAACGGCUUACAAAGGCAACGAUGCAUAGCCGACCUGAGAGGGUGAUCGGCCACACUGGAACUGAGACA